Molecule: ribosomal RNA, 915 nt
Filed under: uncultured archaeon
Lineage: Archaea
Description: bacterial SSU rRNA
Rfam family: Archaeal small subunit ribosomal RNA
Source: RNAcentral
UUCCGGUUGAUCCUGCCGGAGGCUACCGCUAUUGGAGUUCGAUUAAGCCAUGCGAGUCGCGAGAAAUUAGAUUCUCGGCGUACCGCUCAGUAACACGUGGGUAACCUGCCCUAUGCUGGAUAAUAACCUCGGGAAACUGAGAAUAAUGAUCCAUAGUUCACUACGCCUGGAACGGUGAGUGGAUGAAAGCCCCGGCGGCAUAGGAUGGGCCUGCGGCGUAUCAGGUUGUAGGGGGUGUAACGUACCCUCUAGCCCUCUACGCGUACGGGUGUUGGGAGACAUAGCCCGGAGAUGGAUUCUGAGACACGAAUCCAGACCCUACGGGGUGCAGCAGGCGCGAAAACUUGGCAAUGCGAGAAAUCGUGACCAGGGAACUCCAAGUGCAUCGGGUAAGACCGGUGCUUUUCUUGACUCUAAAUAGGUCUUGGAAUAAGGGGUGGGUAAGGACGGUGCCAGCCGCCGCGGUAAUACCGGCGCCUCAAGUGGUAGUCGCUUUUAUUGGGCCUAAAACGUCCGUAGCCGGUCUGAUACAUUCGUGGGUAAAUCAACCAGCUCAACUGGUUGAAUUCUGCGAGGACGGUCAGACUUGGGACCGGGAGAGGUGUGGGGUACGCUCAGGGUAGGGGUAAAAUCCUGUCAUCCUGAGCGGACCACCUGUUGCGAAGGCGCCACACUAGAACGGAUCCGACGGUCAGGGACGAAGCCUAGGGGCACGAACCGGAUUAGAUACCCGGGUAGUCCUAGGUGUAAACGCUGUGGACUUGAUGUUGGGGGUACUCCGAGCACUCUCAGUGUCGAAGCGAAGGUGAUAAGUCCACUGCCUGGGAAGUACGGUCGCAAGGCUGAAACUUAAAGGAAUUGGCGGGGGAGCACCGCAACCUGAGGAUUGUGCGGUUUAAUUGGAUCAACGCCGGA